Molecule: ribosomal RNA, 274 nt
Filed under: uncultured bacterium
Lineage: Bacteria
Description: partial 16S ribosomal RNA
Rfam family: Bacterial small subunit ribosomal RNA
Source: RNAcentral
AUACGGAGGGUCCAAGCGCUAUCCGGAAUCAUUGGGUUUAAAGGGUCCGUAGGCGGGCAAUUAAGUCAGAGGUGAAAUCCCACAGCUCAACUGUGGAACUGCCUUUGAUACUGGUUGUCUUGAAUUAUAGUGAAGUAGAUAGAAUAUGUAGUGUAGCGGUGAAAUGCUUAGAUAUUACAUAGAAUACCGAUUGCGAAGGCAGUCUACUAACUGUAUAUUGACGCUGAUGGACGAAAGCGUGGGGAGCGAACAGGAUUAGAUACCCUAGUAGUCC